Molecule: ribosomal RNA, 252 nt
Filed under: uncultured bacterium
Lineage: Bacteria
Description: partial 16S ribosomal RNA
Rfam family: Bacterial small subunit ribosomal RNA
Source: RNAcentral
GAUCCUGGCUCAGGAUGAACGCUAGCUACAGGCUUAACACAUGCAAGUCGAGUGGCAUCAGUUUGGUUUGCUUACAAACCAAAGCUGGCGACCGGCGCACGGGUGAGUAACACGUAUCCAACCUGCCUCAUACUCGGGGAUAGCCUUUCGAAAGAAAGAUUAAUAUCCGAUAGCAUAUAUUUCCCGCAUGGGUUUUAUAUUAAAGAAAUUCGGUAUGAGAUGGGGAUGCGUUCCAUUAGUUUGUUGGGGGGG